Molecule: ribosomal RNA, 253 nt
Filed under: uncultured bacterium
Lineage: Bacteria
Description: partial 16S ribosomal RNA
Rfam family: Bacterial small subunit ribosomal RNA
Source: RNAcentral
UACGGAGGGGGCUAGCGUUGUUCGGAAUUACUGGGCGUAAAGCGCGCGUAGGCGGACCUGCAAGUCGGGGGUGAAAGCCCGAGGCUCAACCUCGGAACUGCCUUCGAUACUGCGGGUCUCGAGUCCGGGAGAGGUGAGUGGAAUUCCUAGUGUAGAGGUGAAAUUCGUAGAUAUUAGGAAGAACACCAGUGGCGAAGGCGGCUCACUGGCCCGGUACUGACGCUGAGGCGCGAAAGCGUGGGAAGCAAACAGG